GACACAGUGGAUUAAUGGUAGAUCGUCUCCAACUUAUCCUAAGACAAUAAACCAAGGUUAUGCUGUAAAAAUCACGGUUCGAAUCCGUGUUGUGGCA
This 97-nucleotide transfer RNA is filed under the name Armillaria ostoyae. It matches the Rfam family "tRNA". Rfam says of the family: Transfer RNA (tRNA) molecules are approximately 80 nucleotides in length. Their secondary structure includes four short double-helical elements and three loops (D, anti-codon, and T loops). The record is from RNAcentral. Lineage: Eukaryota; Fungi; Basidiomycota; Agaricomycetes; Agaricales; Physalacriaceae.